RNAcentral lists this ribosomal RNA (812 nucleotides) under Lactiplantibacillus plantarum. Its description in RNAcentral is "bacterial SSU rRNA". It matches the Rfam family "Bacterial small subunit ribosomal RNA", at positions 110 to 907 of the family's 1533-position model. The record is from RNAcentral. Lineage: Bacteria; Bacillati; Bacillota; Bacilli; Lactobacillales; Lactobacillaceae.
GUAACACGUGGGAAACCUGCCCAGAAGCGGGGGAUAACACCUGGAAACAGAUGCUAAUACCGCAUAACAACUUGGACCGCAUGGUCCGAGCUUGAAAGAUGGCUUUGGCUAUCACUUUUGGAUGGUCCCGCGGCGUAUUAUCUAGAUGGUGGGGUAACGGCUCACCAUGGCAAUGAUACGUAGCCUACCUGAGAGGGUAAUCGGCCACAUUGGGACUGAGACACGGCCCAAACUACUACGGGAGGCAGCAGUAGGGAAUCUUCCACAAUGGACGAAAGUCUGAUGGAGCAACGCCGCGUGAGUGAAGAAGGGUUUCGGCUCGUAAAACUCUGUUGUUAAAGAAGAACAUAUCUGAGAGUAACUGUUCAGGUAUUGACGGUAUUUAACCAGAAAGCCACGGCUAACUACGUGCCAGCAGCCGCGGUAAUACGUAGGUGGCAAGCGUUGUCCGGAUUUAUUGGGCGUAAAGCGAGCGCAGGCGGUUUUUUAAGUCUGAUGUGAAAGCCUUCGGCUCAACCGAAGAAGUGCAUCGGAAACUGGGAAACUUGAGUGCAGAAGAGGACAGUGGAACUCCAUGUGUAGCGGUGAAAUGCGUAGAUAUAUGGAAGAACACCAGUGGCGAAGGCGGCUGUCUGGUCUGUAACUGACGCUGAGGCUCGAAAGUAUGGGUAGCAAACAGGAUUAGAUACCCUGGUAGUCCAUACCGUAAACGAUGAAUGCUAAGUGUUGGAGGGUUUCCGCCCUUCAGUGCUGCAGCUAACGCAUUAAGCAUUCCGCCUGGGGAGUACGGCCGCAAGGCUGAAACUCAAAGG